RNAcentral lists this ribosomal RNA (258 nucleotides) under uncultured bacterium. RNAcentral describes it as "partial 16S ribosomal RNA". It matches the Rfam family "Bacterial small subunit ribosomal RNA", at positions 524 to 776 of the family's 1533-position model. The record is from RNAcentral.
GACGUAGGGCGCGAGCGUUGUCCGGAUUAUUGGUGCGUAAAGGGCUCGUAGGCGGUGUGUCACGUCGGCCGUGAAAACCUGCAGCUUAACUGUGGGCGUGCGGUCGAUACGGGCAUCACUGGAGUUCGGCAGGGGAGACUGGAAUUCCUGGUGUAGCGGUGAAAUGCGCAGAUAUCAGGAGGGAACACCGGUGGCGAAGGCGGGUCUCUGGGCCGAUAACUGACGCUGGAGGCAACGAAAGCGUGGGGAGCAAACAGG